AAAUUUUUUUAAGUGAAUUUAAUAAGUAAUUUGGUGGAACUUUACCCUAAAAAUGUUUUUCUUAUCAGCAAGAGAAUUUUGAUGAGCUUUAGAAGAUGAUGGGAGAAAUGAUUAAUUUAUUGAAAUAAUACUAAUGUAUCGAUCAUGUUUCAAUUCAUAGAGCGGCCAGGCUAUAUAUAUUGGAUACAUUGGAUGAAUUGAUUAGGCCAAUCCACUGAGAACAAACUCUAAUCUUUUCUGCUAGUUUGUCGUCCUCUCAAUCUAAUUGGCAAGGCCAUUUUCAGAUUAAUUAUUGCAUUGGAAGCCAACAUUGUUCUGUGUCCUUGGACUUGUUUUUAUUUUUAUUUUUACUUCUAUUAUUUUAUUUAUUUUGUGUCCCCGAGCCAACGGGCCAUCACAAAUAUGCAAUGAUGAACUUUGCAUGAUCUCAGUUAUUUGCUGCCAUUUCUGUCAAUCAAAAAGCAAAUGUGUAUGGGUAUCUGCAGCUGCUGCUGAUACUCUAGAAGAGCCUCUAUUAAUGUGAAAAAUGGACCUUCGAAAUCGUUUUGCUCUGCCAUUGUAUAGAUGGUAAAGUUGGAAGAGUCAUUGGUAAGGCCAAUCGUUUUAUUUCUUUUAUAUUUACUCGUUGUCAUGUCUCUACUUCAACCAAUUAUGCUAAUAUGUAUACAUAUGUAGCGGGCAAUAUAUAAGUUAAUUUUAACUGGUGGGAUGGAUGGGCACGUCUUUUAUGUCUAAUUAAUUAAAUUUUUCAUAUAUGCGUUCAUUUUACAAUUGAUUAAUCAAUUAUAGUAAUAUUAUGAUAAUGGAUAACACUAGAUACAAACCCAAAAGAAUUUUUUUUGAGAAUUUACGUAGGGCAGGGGAGAAUGCAAAUUGGUGAAAAGAAGAAGGUAAAAUAAUAAUAAUAAUAAUAAUAAUAAUUUUAGGUUAAUUAUACGACUAACAUACCUGUAUAUACGAUAAUACCUCGAAUUAUAUCGUAAUCUCAGCCACUGACUUAGUUUGUGAUUGAUUAAAAGGGAAUGGAGGAUGCAUCUAGCUAAAUAGGGAAAUUGUAGAAAUUAAUUAUGUCUAAACAGUGGAUUAAACAACAUUGUAAGAUGAUCAUAUUUUAUUGACUUCGAUUAUCUUACUAAACAUCUAAGAUAUCUCAAUUAUAGGAUACGAUGGUGACACAUAUAAGAGGAAUAUAUAUAUUUUUUAAUAUAUAUAGCAGUGGCUGUGCUAUUUACCGACACACUUUCCAUUUGACAUGACGUAAAAAAGACUCAAAAUAGAUGUUUGACAAUUUCACCGUAAAAACACAUUCCACAUAUUAUUUAUUUUUUAUAGUUUCUAACAAGAGGGUCUAAUUCCACUUUCUCUGCCGACUACGAUUUCUAUUUUACUACCAUUAAUAUUGUGAUAAGAUUGACAAUUUUUUCUUGCUUUUUAAAGUUUGAUUUUGUUGUCCACUAAUAUUAAUCAAUGACCAAACUUUGGGUUGGUUGGAUUUCAUUACAACAACUUUUUUGAAUAUUUAGUCGCGUUAGAUGUGCAUGAUUGCAAGAAUAUCGCAUUUUAACUAAACCUUCUAAAAAAAUAAAUUUUAUUUUUGCCGAAUUUUAUUUGAUCACCUCUAGUCGUAAACAAUAUAUGGAUACGAGGAGUAUACAACAUACGGAUAUAAAGAGUAUUAAACAAAAAAAACAAAAUAAAUAAAUAACUAUAUGGUUAUUCAAAUGUUUUUUACUAUAAAAAUUUUACAUAAAUUUUGAGUCGAGUGAUAUGCAAACAAUAGAAAGAAAUAAAAAGGAGAAUCCAUGAAUAAUUUAUAAUGGGUUGGGAAUUGAGUGGGAUAUCAUUAUGGUGGAGAAGCCUUAUCAUAUUUUGAUUUUAAUAUUUUAUUUUUUAUGUGUCAACUGGCUAUGAUUAAUUAAUGGGUUUUGCCGCUUUGUCCCAGCCUUUUGAUUUUUGAUUGCAAUGAGAUGGGGUUAAAAUAAUGGACAUGCUUGACACCACUCACUAUAAAAAGUCAAAUUAAAAAAAAAAAAAAUCACAAUAGUGUAAAAUCUUGUGAAAACGACGCAAUCAUCCUACAGUUGUUUCUAAAGAGUCCAUGAGGAACUUAUUAGUUCCGGGUGCUAUUUGGUUCAAUUAAAAAGAUUUAUUCGAAGAGUAUUUUUUAAUGGAUUUAAAAUUUUAAAUAGGUGGGUCUAAUUGAGUAGUUUUCAAAUAAUUUUAUUUAGUUAGUUACUGAAUUUAAAUUCUAAAUUGGUAGGAAUAAAAAAAUUUAGUUAGUCUUUACUUCUCUUAGAUCCUUGGUAUAUCUUUUAAAAUAAAUAUUUGGGAGCGAUUAUUAUGUAUGUGAGAAGCAUAUUUUGCCUUUGACUAAGUGAUGGACUGCUACUCACACAUUGUUCAAGUCCCCAUCUAAAAUAUGGGGAUUCAAAUUUUUCCUCCCAAUUAAGAAUUAAUUGAGUGAAUGUAAUAUUCUUUCUUACGAAAUAUGAGUCAAAUAUUUUUAAAAGUCAUGAAUGGAGCAAAUAUUUCUCCAGUAUUAGUAAAGAUAGAAAAUUAGGUGUGUUUCAUAAUCAAAUAGAAGGGUGUACAAGAGUAAAAGAAGAGUAUUUUGUAAUACAAUAAGUGCAAUUUUUUUUUUUAAAAAAAAGAUGUACAAAUAGAUGUUUGGAUAAUUUUAAAAAUUAUAGGGACUAGUAAGUAAUUGGAUCAAAUCCUAAGGGAUAAAUGAACGUUUACUCUUCAUACUUUUUGAGAAAGGAAAAUCUUUGCAAAAAUUCCAAUAUACACACAACCUUAAAAAAAAUUAUAAUCGUUCUACUUAAGUUUCGUCAAGCGUAUUGCUAAUUCAUUUUUCCAUUAAACCCAUUUAGUGUACAUUAACAUCACAAAGAUAAAUAGUAAUUUAUGUCAUUUUUAUUUUUUGAGAAAAUUAGAACUUGAAUACAUAAUUUUCAGGGAAAAUUUAAACAAUAAUAAGUUGGAUUUGCCUAAUAAUUAUUGAUGGGUGGAAAAUAAUUUUUUUAGGAAAAAGAACAUCUACAUCCCCAAAGUUUGAGAAAAUGAUCAUUAAUACUCCCAAAUUUUUCAAAAGGGACAUUAGGGCCCCCUUUGACCAUUUUACCCUUUACCUCCAUUAUCCCAAAAAGUGGGUUUUAAAAUUU
This 3164-nucleotide long non-coding RNA is filed under the name Citrus x clementina. RNAcentral describes it as "Citrus clementina (C. clementina) long non-coding RNA (CCLE_LNC000286)". The record is from RNAcentral. Lineage: Eukaryota; Viridiplantae; Streptophyta; Magnoliopsida; Sapindales; Rutaceae.